Sordaria macrospora k-hell is the source of this 77-nucleotide non-coding RNA. The record is from the annotation of a RefSeq genome assembly. Lineage: Eukaryota; Fungi; Ascomycota; Sordariomycetes; Sordariales; Sordariaceae.
UCCCUCGUGGCGCAAAGUUGGCUAGCGCGUCAGACGUGUUAAUCUGGAGGCUGUAAGUUCGAUCCUUACCGAGGGAG